AACCCUAAGCAAACAAAAAAAAAAAGAAAAGAAAAACAUGAAACGAAAGAAAGAGAGGGAGAAACAACACCAAAUUUCAUAAAUUUCUUGAUUCCCAAGCUUCUAACACAGAAAAAGCUACACUAAUUUCCUUACUUCAUCCGAAAUAAUUAUCGUCUCACUCAACUCACUAUUUCCCCUAAAUUUCUUCAAAAAAUGAGGAAAAUCAAGCUAAUUGGUUUCGCCUCUAAGUCUCUAACCCGCAUUUUCAAUUCGCGUGGGUUUCAUUGCAAUUCUAUUGAAGGAAAUCAACAAGCAUUAUUUUUAGCUCACAUUACAAGAUUUGGCAGCUAUAGAUAUGUUGCUGGGAUAAAUGGGAACCCAUUUGGUGAAGCAGUAUUUUCAGUUCCAUUAGCAAAGCGCUAUUUUCAUGCUACAGGGCCGUUGCGCUCGAGUGAACGGAAUUACUAUGAACUUUUGGGGGUGGCGAAAGAUGCCAGUCGUGAUGAGAUUAGAAACUCUUUCCAUGAGUUGGCGAAGAAGUAUCAUCCAGAUACGAAUAAGAAUAAUCCUUCUGCGAAGAGGAAGUUUCAAGAGAUAAGAGAUGCUUAUGAGACUCUGAGAGACUCUGAGAAAAGAGCGCAGUAUGACAUGAGCCUAAAUUUAGGUUCGGGCUAUGCAAGGCAAGAUUCUGGCAGCAGGGGUUCAGAGAAUGUACAUUAUGAUUUUGAUGCUGAGGCGUUUAGACGUGCUUAUAAAACCAACUUCUCAACCUCAUUCCAUAAAAUAUUUUCUGAGAUAUUUGAAGAUGAAAAGGAAAAUUUUGCAGCUGAUAUUCAGCUUGAGCUCUCGCUUUCUUUUUCCGAGGCAGCAAAAGGUUGCACAAAGGACCUGUCUUUUAAUGCACACCUCCCCUGUGAUUCCUGCCAUGGGCGUGGCUAUCCUAUUGAUGCAAAGGCUAGAAUUUGUCCAACAUGUGGUGGGAUUGGGAGGGUAACUAUUCCUCCAUUUUCGACCACCUGCAGCUCAUGUAAGGGAUCAGGAAGAGUUAUUACUGAAAAAUGUGGCUCCUGCAAAGGACAUGGGGUGCUUGAAGGUGUUAAGGAAGUUAGAGUUACGAUACCGGCUGGUGUGGAAUCUGGUGACACUAUCACUAUCCCUAAAGGUGGUAACUCUGGGGGACAAGGAGCGACAUCUGGAAAUGUGUACAUAAGAUUAGAGGUGGCUGAUGAUCCUACUUUUAGUAGAAUUGGUGCAGAUCUUUAUGUGGAUGCUAAUAUAAGCUUUAUACAGGCUAUACUUGGUGGUAAGGUUGAGGUACCAACGCUGACAGGAAAAAUUUCAUUGGAUAUACCCAAGGGAGUACAGCCAGGACAGGUUCAGGUGCUACGAGGGAAAGGAUUGGCAAAGCAUGGUUUUCUUGUCAGCCGGGGUGAUCAACAUGUUCGCUUCUGUAUAAACUUUCCCACGAAGGUAAAUGAACGCCAAAGAGCAAUACUGGAGGAGUUUGAGGAAGAGGAAAUUACUCGCGAAGAAGGUUCCUCUGAUGCAAGUUGAUAAAAGAUGGCGGGCUUCAGGCCAGGCCCAUGUGAUUGUGCAUCGUGGCGGGCCGAGAUGAAAAGUUCAAAAUAGGACCAGGCCCACGGGAUGUUGUGUCGGGCCGGGCCGUCGUGCAUAAGCCUAAUUUUACUAAAUUUAGCGUGUUUGUCGUGCCGUGCUUUUUCCAAAAAAUGCAGCCCAGGCCCGGCUCACGGCUUCAUGCUCGUGCCGGACCGUGCUUUUUUCGUGCCAGGAUCAGGAGGCCCGGCCCGGCCCACAACCAUCUUUAUCUGAGCUGCUCUGACAAAAUGAGGCCUCAAAGUUAUCUUCUAGUUUUCUAGGCUUCAUCAGCAGCUAUCUACUGGUUGAACUUUCAGGUGGCAGCAAAUUCUUGAACAUGGAAAUAGGCCAAAACUUAUGCUCGAGCUUUCGGUGCUCCUGUUGAUUCUACUACUCAUGAAGAAACUCUUGCUUUGAGGCUAGGUUGUGGACAUUCCUCCGCGCCAAAUAUUUAUCUGAUCACUGUCUUUACAACGUCAACCAGGAAUUUAAACUAGAGGUACACCAUUACUCUUCUGCUCUGACUAAGUCUACUCUGCAAUUGUGGAUACAAAAAACAGUUACUGUAUAGAAAUUUUGACAUUCUUUUGAAAGAAAUAAGAAAUAUAACUACAAAUAUACUCUUAGUUCAUCUUCACUGAAUUACUGGCAAUUGCUGGUGAUACGGUAAAGAGUAUUUCUAGCAUACAGGAAACUCUGUUAUACAGUUGUUGUAUGUGUUUAGUGUUGAAGAAGCGAACGUGACAGUAGUCAUGAAAGAAAUCCAUUUUGUUUCAAGUGUAGUAAUGGAUUCAGCAUUUUGUAAACAUAAACCUCUGAAAUUGGUGAAGCUAUAGAUUCGAGUGUUGCCUGUGUGGCUGCGUUAA
Molecule: RNA transcript, 2444 nt
Organism: Spinacia oleracea (spinach)
Lineage: Eukaryota; Viridiplantae; Streptophyta; Magnoliopsida; Caryophyllales; Amaranthaceae
Gene name: chaperone protein dnaJ 1, mitochondrial
Exons: 20
Source: RefSeq, a predicted model, not a curated record